CCGCUCCCGCCGGGGUCGGCAUCGUCACGGCGUCCUUAAGGUUGGAAAAGAGCUCUGGGUUUAUCGAGUGCAACCUGUGACCGGACACAACCAUGUCAACUAAACCAUGGCACAGAGUCUUCCCUAAAACAACUCCCGGGACGGUGACUCCCCCAUCUCUCUGGACACUCCCUUCUGAAUAAUAAUCACCCUUUCUGUGAAGAAGUUCUUCCUAAUGUCCAACCUAAAGCUCCCUGCUGCAGUUUAAGACUUUGUCCUCCUAUCCUGUUCCCUGGGAAGUCCCUCUGCCGUCGCUGAGGGAGGCACCCAGCCGUGGAAGUGGCUAAGCACAGGACAAGAGAACAAGAUUCAUGCCCCGGCCCAAGCAGGGAGGGACCCUAUUUUGCACCUGAAAUGAUGAAUUAGAACUUUAAAAAGACAGACCACAGGGACACAUACAAACACUAAGGAAAACAGAUAAUUGCAAGAUCAACCAUAUGCUUCUGUUUAUACAAAUCUGGCAUGUUUUGGGAAUUUUAAGGUCAGUGUCCUUCCUAUGCUGGGGAGAGCAGAGCUGGAUGUGUAAUCCAAAAUGGAGAAUAUCACAUCAGUUUGUCUUUUUUUUGGGUAAUAAUUGUCUCUCAGGAAACUGA
Molecule: long non-coding RNA, 632 nt
Filed under: Cyanistes caeruleus (blue tit)
Lineage: Eukaryota; Metazoa; Chordata; Aves; Passeriformes; Paridae
Description: lncRNA (ENSCCEG00000020000.1)
Source: RNAcentral